Non-coding RNA from Ricinus communis (castor bean), 107 nucleotides. The record is from Rfam. NCBI's taxonomy places the organism in Eukaryota, Viridiplantae, Streptophyta, Magnoliopsida, Malpighiales, Euphorbiaceae.
AAACCAUGGUAUGAGCAAUAUCUCAGUAAGUCCUUGUACCUCUCCCACGCAUUAUACAUGCUCUCAUCAUCAAACUACAUAAAAGAAGAAAUAUCAUUACCCAUCUU